This is a regulatory RNA element of Streptomyces avermitilis MA-4680 = NBRC 14893, 90 nucleotides long. It matches the Rfam family "ZMP/ZTP riboswitch aptamer (pfl RNA motif)". From Rfam's summary of the family: Previously known as pfl RNA. ZMP is also known as AICAR. Lineage: Bacteria; Bacillati; Actinomycetota; Actinomycetes; Kitasatosporales; Streptomycetaceae. The record is from Rfam.
CCGACGGGCCGUGACUGGCGCGCUGGGAUGGGACCGACCAUCGGGGAGCGGCCUGAAUGCGAAUGUGUGCCGUGCGCCUGGGCCGAACGU